CAUUUCUGUUCGCACGUUAUGCUUGUUUACUAUGCUACCGUGAUCCCACGGAGUAUACGUGCGUGAUCCUAAGCAAUAGUGCUCAGACGUUAUACAAAACUUUUAUGGAGCUUCAAUCUACUUUUAUUAACGUAUUAAUUAUAUAUAUUUCAUUGAUAUCAACGUAAUGGAUUUUUCUCUACCUGAUAGUGAUAUUUGGGAUGAUUCGCCUUCUCAAGACAAAUUCCUCGAAAACUACUUUAAAGACUAUAUGUUACCUUCUCCUGAUAUAACAAAGAAGAAAAGUAAAAGAAAAAGGCAGAAGCUUUCAAAUUUAAAUGAAGAUUACAAUCAUGUUUUGCAACCAACUGAGACUCAGAUAUGCCAUGUUCUUAACACUAAAACAAAAAAUGAAACAUCAGGUUCUAAUUAUUUAAAUACUAAAAAACAAAAAAAUGAUACUUUUAAAAGUUAUUUGGGUAGUAGUGGAGAAAUCCUAUUAUCCAAAGUUAAGAAAAAUAAUUUGCAUGAAAAGAGAAAAUUGGAAAAUGAAUGCAGAAACAGAAUAGACUUACUGCCUUCAGAACCUGCUUCAUCUUUGCAAGGAGAUAAAUUAUCUUUAAAGAAGAAGAAAAAGCAAACUUCAAAAACUGCUUCACUUAGAGGUAUGAAUUCAACUAAUUCAAAACAUGAUAAAAAUAAUAUAGAGCCUGAGAAGGUAAAUAAGUGGAAUAAAAAUAUACUAAAAUCAAAUAAACUAAAGAAAUCAUCCCCAGCCUCAGAAAUAAAAAGAGUAACUAUAGCUGUGGAAUUUCCAAAUGAAGAUUUUGAACUAAUAGAGGAGAUUAAAAAUAGUUCUAUAUAUAAAGAAUUACAGAAUUUUACAGGACAACAGCAGUUUUUCAAACAAAUUGAUUCAAGAAAUAAUGUCUCUGAAUCUUCUAAUGACAAGGAGCACAUCCCAGAUGUAAGUGAGAAUGAAGUUCAGAUGAUAUCUAUAAAACAAACAAGUCAAUCAAUAACAGAGAAUGAAACUAAGAAUAGUAAUUUUGAUGGAAAGAAAAAAUUAAAAAAUAAAUUUAAAAACAUAACAUCAUUCCACUCAGAACCAAUUACUAUGUUGCAUGGAGGUAAAUUAUCUUUAAACAGGAAAAAAAAUAAAAAGAAUCAAGUUUUAAAAACAGGUGUUGAUGAUGCAAUGAGAAAUGUAGUUUUAGCUAAUUUGAAAGAUGGCAAAAAUAAUGUACAACUUAAAACAAGUAAGCAUAGUAAAAAAACAUCAUGCACAAAUGACAUAAAGAAAACAUCUCAAGGCUCAAAGGACAGUGGUGUAACUGAAGCUGCAAAACUUUCAAAUGAACGUAUUGAGAUAACAGAGGAGGUUAAAAGUAGUUGUAACAUAGUGCAGAAUUUUUCAAGGAAAUUACAGUUUCCAAGACAAAUUAAUUCAAGUUGUAAUUUCUCUAACUCUUCUAAUGAAGGAUUCUUGGAUACUAGUGAAAAUAAAUUGCAAAUGACGUCUCUAAAACAUUGUUCAAGUCAGUCAGCAAUGGAAUGUAAAACUGUCCCUGAAACAAGUCUAUAUAAAAAUAAGAAAAAUAAAGCAACAUCUUUUAUAAACAAAGCACAAAAAAUGUUAAGUGCUGCAAAAUUUAGGUAUUUGAAUGAAAAAUUAUAUACUGGAUCUGGAAGAGAUGCAUAUGAAUAUUUUCAGAAUAAUUCUGAUGAAUUUGAAGAUUAUCAUUCUGGAUAUAAAAUGCAAGUCCAUAAAUGGCCCAUGAAUCCUGUCGAUUUAAUUAUCCAAGAUUUACGUAAAUUAUCUGAAAAUGCAGUAAUAGCUGAUAUGGGAUGUGGUGACGCUAAAAUUGCUCAAACAUUUACAGAUAAGACUGUCUAUUCAUUUGACUUGAUAGCACUGAAUGAAUUUGUAACACCUUGUGAUAUAUCUAAGUUCAGCCUUGGAUGUAAUGGUGAAUCCAAGACUGUCCAGGCCAAUCCUCAUGCCUGGUACCUUUGUCAAAUGAAAGUGUAGAUGUUGUAGUGUUUUGUUUAUCACUUAUGGGCACAAACUUUAAAGACUAUCUAUUUGAAGGUCAUAGAAUAUUGAAAGAAAGUGGCAUUUUAAAAAUAGCAGAAGUUGAAAGCAGAAUUGAUGAUCUUGACAAGUUUAUAAAAUGUCUGAAAUGUAUGGGAUUUUCAUUAGAAUGCAAA
This 2190-nucleotide unclassified non-coding RNA is filed under the name Stegodyphus dumicola. RNAcentral describes it as "ribosomal RNA-processing protein 8-like, transcript variant X1". The record is from RNAcentral. Lineage: Eukaryota; Metazoa; Arthropoda; Arachnida; Araneae; Eresidae.